Molecule: ribosomal RNA, 291 nt
Filed under: uncultured Caulobacter sp.
Lineage: Bacteria; Pseudomonadati; Pseudomonadota; Alphaproteobacteria; Caulobacterales; Caulobacteraceae
Description: partial 16S ribosomal RNA
Rfam family: Bacterial small subunit ribosomal RNA
Source: RNAcentral
GUGUCAGCAGCCGCGGUAAUACGAAGGGGGCUAGCGUUGCUCGGAAUUACUGGGCGUAAAGGGAGCGUAGGCGGACUGUUUAGUCAGAGGUGAAAGCCCAGGGCUCAACCUUGGAAUUGCCUUUGAUACUGGCAGUCUUGAGUACGGAAGAGGUAUGUGGAACUCCGAGUGUAGAGGUGAAAUUCGUAGAUAUUCGGAAGAACACCAGUGGCGAAGGCGACAUACUGGUCCGUUACUGACGCUGAGGCUCGAAAGCGUGGGGAGCAAACAGGAUUAGAUACCCCAGUAGUC